RNAcentral lists this ribosomal RNA (581 nucleotides) under Pterobunocephalus depressus. Its description in RNAcentral is "partial 16S ribosomal RNA". It matches the Rfam family "Bacterial large subunit ribosomal RNA", at positions 1812 to 2604 of the family's 2925-position model. Lineage: Eukaryota; Metazoa; Chordata; Actinopteri; Siluriformes; Aspredinidae. The record is from RNAcentral.
AACAUCGCCUCCUGCAGCAUUAAAGUAUAGGAGGUCUUGCCUGCCCAGUGAGCAAUUAAACGGCCGCGGUAUUUUGACCGUGCGAAGGUAGCGCAAUCACUUGUCUUUUAAAUAAAGACCUGUAUGAAUGGUAGAACGAGGGCUUAACUGUCUCCCCCCUCUAGUCAAUGAAAUUGAUCUGCCCGUGCAAAAGCGGACAUAAAACCACAAGACGAGAAGACCCUUUGGAGCUUAAGAUAAAAAAUCACCUAUGUCAAAAACUACCCAAGCCUGUUAAACCAAAUAGUGCAUGAUUUUAAUCUUCGGUUGGGGCAACCAUGGGAGAAAAUAAAGCUCCCACGUGGAUCGGGGCCCAGACCCUAUAACCAAGAAUGACACUUCAAAGUAUUAAAAAAUUUAACCACUGCGACCCAGUUAUAAUACUGAUCAGCGAACCAAGUUACCCAAGGGAUAACAGCGCAAUCCUUUUCGAGAGCCCAUAUCGACAAAAGGGUUUACGACCUCGAUGUUGGAUCAGGACAUCCUAAUGGUGCAGCCGCUAUUAAGGGUUCGUUUGUUCAACGAUUAAAGUCCUACGUGAU